RNAcentral lists this ribosomal RNA (468 nucleotides) under uncultured bacterium. Its description in RNAcentral is "partial 16S ribosomal RNA". It matches the Rfam family "Bacterial small subunit ribosomal RNA", at positions 28 to 507 of the family's 1533-position model. The record is from RNAcentral.
GACGAACGCUGGCGGCGUGCUUAACACAUGCAAGUCGAACGGAAAGGCCCUGCUUUUGUGGGGUGCUCGAGUGGCGAACGGGUGAGUAACACGUGAGUAACCUGCCCUUGACUUUGGGAUAACUUCAGGAAACUGGGGCUAAUACCGGAUAGGAGCUCCUGCUGCAUGGUGGGGGUUGGAAAGUUUCGGCGGUUGGGGAUGGACUCGCGGCUUAUCAGCUUGUUGGUGGGGUAGUGGCUUACCCAGGCUUUGACGGGUAGCCGGCCUGAGAGGGUGACCGGCCACAUUGGGACUGAGAUACGGCGCAGACUCCUACGGGAGGCAGCAGUGGGGAAUAUGGCACAAUGGGCGGAAGCCUGAUGCAGCAACGCCGCGUGCGGGAUGACGGCCUUCGGGUUGUAAACAGCUUUCGCCUGUGACGAAGCGUGAGUGACGGUAAUGGGUAAAGAAGCACCGGCUAACUACGUG